UUUAUGGAGAGUUUGAUCCUGGCUCAGAGUGAACGCUGGCGGCGUGCCUAAUACAUGCAAGUCGAACGAUGAAGCUUCUAGCUUGCUAGAGUGCUGAUUAGUGGCGCACGGGUGAGUAACGCAUAGGUCAUGUGCCUCUUAGUUUGGGAUAGCCAUUGGAAACGAUGAUUAAUACCAGAUACUCCCUACGGGGGAAAGAUUUAUCGCUAAGAGAUCAGCCUAUGUCCUAUCAGCUUGUUGGUAAGGUAAUGGCUUACCAAGGCUAUGACGGGUAUCCGGCCUGAGAGGGUGAACGGACACACUGGAACUGAGACACGGUCCAGACUCCUACGGGAGGCAGCAGUAGGGAAUAUUGCUCAAUGGGGGAAACCCUGAAGCAGCAACGCCGCGUGGAGGAUGAAGGUUUUAGGAUUGUAAACUCCUUUUGUUAGAGAAGAUAAUGACGGUAUCUAACGAAUAAGCACCGGCUAACUCCGUGCCAGCAGCCGCGGUAAUACGGAGGGUGCAAGCGUUACUCGGAAUCACUGGGCGUAAAGAGCGCGUAGGCGGGAUAGUCAGUCAGGUGUGAAAUCCUAUGGCUUAACCAUAGAACUGCAUUUGAAACUACUAUUCUAGAGUGUGGGAGAGGUAGGUGGAAUUCUUGGUGUAGGGGUAAAAUCCGUAGAGAUCAAGAGGAAUACUCAUUGCGAAGGCGACCUGCUGGAACAUUACUGACGCUGAUUGUGCGAAAGCGUGGGGAGCAAACAGGAUUAGAUACCCUGGUAGUCCACGCCCUAAACGAUGGAUGCUAGUUGUUGGAGGGCUUAGUCUCUCCAGUAAUGCAGCUAACGCAUUAAGCAUCCCGCCUGGGGAGUACGGUCGCAAGAUUAAAACUCAAAGGAAUAGACGGGGACCCGCACAAGCGGUGGAGCAUGUGGUUUAAUUCGAAGAUACACGAAGAACCUUACCUAGGCUUGACAUUGAGAGAAUCCGCUAGAAAUAGUGGAGUGUCUGGCUUGCCAGACCUUGAAAACAGGUGCUGCACGGCUGUCGUCAGCUCGUGUCGUGAGAUGUUGGGUUAAGUCCCGCAACGAGCGCAACCCCCUUUCUUAGUUGCUAACAGGUCAUGCUGAGAACUCUAAGGAUACUGCCUCCGUAAGGAGGAGGAAGGUGGGGACGACGUCAAGUCAUCAUGGCCCUUACGCCUAGGGCUACACACGUGCUACAAUGGGGUGCACAAAGAGAAGCAAUACUGCGAAGUGGAGCCAAUCUUCAAAACAUCUCUCAGUUCGGAUUGUAGGCUGCAACUCGCCUGCAUGAAGCUGGAAUCGCUAGUAAUCGCAAAUCAGCCAUGUUGCGGUGAAUACGUUCCCGGGUCUUGUACUCACCGCCCGUCACACCAUGGGAGUUGUGUUUGCCUUAAGUCAGGAUGCUAAAUUGGCUACUGCCCACGGCACACACAGCGACUGGGGUGAAGUCGUAACAAGGUAACCGUAGGUGAACCUGCGGUUGGAUCACCUCCUUUCUAGA
This 1509-nucleotide ribosomal RNA is filed under the name Helicobacter pylori. RNAcentral describes it as "bacterial SSU rRNA". It matches the Rfam family "Bacterial small subunit ribosomal RNA". The record is from RNAcentral. Lineage: Bacteria; Pseudomonadati; Campylobacterota; Epsilonproteobacteria; Campylobacterales; Helicobacteraceae.